GGCUCAGGACGAACGCUGGCGGCGUGCUUAACACAUGCAAGUCGAACGAUGAAGCCCUUCGGGGUGGAUUAGUGGCGAACGGGUGAGUAACACGUGGGCAAUCUGCCCUUCACUCUGGGACAAGCCCUGGAAACGGGGUCUAAUACCGGAUAACACUUCCGUCCUCCUGGACGGUGGUUAAAAGCUCCGGCGGUGAAGGAUGAGCCCGCGGCCUAUCAGCUUGUUGGUGAGGUAAUGGCUCACCAAGGCGACGACGGGUAGCCGGCCUGAGAGGGCGACCGGCCACACUGGGACUGAGACACGGCCCAGACUCCUACGGGAGGCAGCAGUGGGGAAUAUUGCACAAUGGGCGAAAGCCUGAUGCAGCGACGCCGCGUGAGGGAUGACGGCCUUCGGGUUGUAAACCUCUUUCAGCAGGGAAGAAGCGAAAGUGACGGUACCUGCAGAAGAAGCGCCGGCUAACUACGUGCCAGCAGCCGCGGUAAUACGUAGGGCGCAAGCGUUGUCCGGAAUUAUUGGGCGUAAAGAGCUCGUAGGCGGCUUGUCACGUCGGUUGUGAAAGCCCGGGGCUUAACCCCGGGUCUGCAGUCGAUACGGGCAGGCUAGAGUGUGGUAGGGGAGAUCGGAAUUCCUGGUGUAGCGGUGAAAUGCGCAGAUAUCAGGAGGAACACCGGUGGCGAAGGCGGAUCUCUGGGCCAUUACUGACGCUGAGGAGCGAAAGCGUGGGGAGCGAACAGGAUUAGAUACCCUGGUAGUCC
RNAcentral lists this ribosomal RNA (758 nucleotides) under Streptomyces kunmingensis. RNAcentral describes it as "bacterial SSU rRNA". It matches the Rfam family "Bacterial small subunit ribosomal RNA", at positions 21 to 796 of the family's 1533-position model. The record is from RNAcentral. Lineage: Bacteria; Bacillati; Actinomycetota; Actinomycetes; Kitasatosporales; Streptomycetaceae.